RNAcentral lists this ribosomal RNA (433 nucleotides) under uncultured bacterium. RNAcentral describes it as "partial 16S ribosomal RNA". It matches the Rfam family "Bacterial small subunit ribosomal RNA", at positions 28 to 507 of the family's 1533-position model. The record is from RNAcentral.
AACGAACGCUGGCGGCGUGCCUAACACAUGCAAGUCGAACGAGACUUCCCGGUCCUUUGGCGCAUGGGUGCGUAACGCGUGGGAAACUGCCCUUAGGUUCACCAUACCUCCCCGACAGGGUUGCCACUAGCGGGGGAGGUCUUCGGGCGAAAGAUUUAUCGUCCUUGGAUGGGCGCGCGUGGGAGUAGCUAGUUGGUAGGGUAAAAGCCUACCAAGGCGAGGAGCCAUAGCUGGUCUGUGAGGAGGAUCAGCCACGCUGGGACUGGGACACGGCCCAGACUCGUACGGGAGGCAGGGGGGGGGAAUAGUGGACCGUGGGCGAAAGCCUGAUCGAGCAAUGCCGCGUGAGUGAUGAUGGCCUUAGGGAUGUAAAGCCCGUUUACCCUGGAUGAUAUUGACGGUACCGGGUGAAUAAGCUCCGGCUAACUACGUG